This 447-nucleotide ribosomal RNA is filed under the name uncultured bacterium. Its description in RNAcentral is "bacterial SSU rRNA". It matches the Rfam family "Bacterial small subunit ribosomal RNA", at positions 29 to 523 of the family's 1533-position model. The record is from RNAcentral.
AAUGAACGCUGGCGGCAGGCCUAACACAUGCAAGUCGAACGCCCUAGCAAUAGGGAGUGGCAGACGGGUGAGUAACACGUGGGAACCUUCCCUAUAGUACGGAAUAUACCAGGGAAACUUGGAGCAAUACCGUAUACGCCCGAGAGGGGAAAGAUUUAUCGCUAUAGGAUGGGCCCGCGUAGGAUUAGCUAGUUGGUGAGGUAAUGGCUCACCAAGGCGACGAUCCUUAGCUGGUGAGAGAACGACCAGCCACACUGGGACUGAGACACGGCCCAGACUCCUACGGGAGGCAGCAGUGGGGAAUAUUGGACAAUGGGCGCAAGCCUGAUCCAGCCAUGCCGCGUGAGUGAUGAAGGCCUUAGGGUUGUAAAGCUCUUUUGCCGGGGACGAUAAUGACGGUACCCGGAGAAUAAGUCCCGGCUAACUUCGUGCCAGCAGCCGCGGUAA